GGCCUGGUGGUGUAGCGGUAACACAUCCUCUCGGUUUAUAGCCUUUCGAGGAUGUUGUCAGGAAGUCCCUUGUUCGAAUCAAGGCCAGGCCA
Non-coding RNA from Mycena alexandri, 92 nucleotides. The record is from the annotation of a GenBank genome assembly. NCBI's taxonomy places the organism in Eukaryota, Fungi, Basidiomycota, Agaricomycetes, Agaricales, Mycenaceae.